RNAcentral lists this ribosomal RNA (253 nucleotides) under uncultured bacterium. Its description in RNAcentral is "partial 16S ribosomal RNA". It matches the Rfam family "Bacterial small subunit ribosomal RNA", at positions 524 to 776 of the family's 1533-position model. The record is from RNAcentral.
UACAGAGGUCUCAAGCGUUGUUCGGAUUUACUGGGCGUAAAGGGUGUGUAGGAGGUUUUUUAAGUCGAAUGUGAAAUCCCACAGCCUAACUGUGGAACUGCAUUCGAUACUGAAGAGCUGGAGGGUCGGAGAGGUUGCUGGAAUUCUCGGUGUAGCGGUGAAAUGCGUAGAGAUCGAGAGGAACACCAAUGGCGUAAGCAAGCAGCUGGAAGAACCCUGACUCUGAGGCACGAAAGCUAGGGGAGCAAACGGG